RNAcentral lists this ribosomal RNA (308 nucleotides) under uncultured bacterium. Its description in RNAcentral is "bacterial SSU rRNA". It matches the Rfam family "Bacterial small subunit ribosomal RNA", at positions 30 to 332 of the family's 1533-position model. The record is from RNAcentral.
AUUGAACGCUGGCGGCGUGCUUAACACAUGCAAGUCGUGCGGUAACAGGCGUAGCAAUACGUGCUGACGAGCGGCGAACGGGUGCGUAAUACAUGGGAAUCUGCCCUUUAGUGGGGAAUAACCCGGCGAAAGCCGGGCUAAUGCCGCAUAAGAUCUUCGGAUGAAAGCGGGGGAGUCGUAAGACCUCGCGCUGAUGGAUGAGCCCACUGUCGGAUUAGCUAGUGGUUGAGGUAACGGCUCACCAAGGCGACGAUCCGUAGCUGGUCUGAGAGGACGGGCCAGCCACACUGGGACGUGAGACACGGCCC